AAAGCUCUUUUGUCAGGGAAGAAACGGGUGGGGCUAAUAUCCCUAUCUAAUGACGGUACCUGAAGAAUAAGCACCGGCUAACUACGUGCCAGCAGCCGCGGUAAUACGUAGGGUGCAAGCGUUAAUCGGAAUUACUGGGCGUAAAGCGUGCGCAGGCGGUUUUGUAAGUCUGACGUGAAAUCCCCGGGCUCAACCUGGGAAUGGCG
RNAcentral lists this ribosomal RNA (206 nucleotides) under uncultured beta proteobacterium. RNAcentral describes it as "partial 16S ribosomal RNA". It matches the Rfam family "Bacterial small subunit ribosomal RNA", at positions 427 to 625 of the family's 1533-position model. The record is from RNAcentral. Lineage: Bacteria; Pseudomonadati; Pseudomonadota; Betaproteobacteria.